GGAGAACACUUCUCCCUUUGCAUCAAUAUAUACAAACUCAUAAUUUUGGGAGCUGGACUUGGGUAGGUAGGAGGCUAAAAGAUAGUGGAAAAAAGACGAGACAUGUUACAUUCCAUUUUCAGAGAAGAAUAAUUGUGUUUCAAAGUAACCCAGUUUUAGUUUUUGAGCUAACUUCCCAUCAUGCUGUGUUGAACAAAGAACACAAUUGAAGCUACGUGCACUAUCGAUAAUUAGAUAAUAUAACUACCUCUAAUUUUGGAAGCGCUAAUCAACUUUUAAAUGUAGUACUGAACAUCUUUAUGAAACAACCGGACAGUGUUUUGGUAGCCAUACAAUAUGAGCCUUUAAAGAGUGUACACAUUAUCAGGGCUCUCAAGUUUUGAAGACGGGCAAGAGUGACAUUUCCAUCACCCCCCCCCCCCCCCGCAGAACGAAAAAAAAUCUUUCUUUCCUUUUCUUUUUUUUGAUUGGCUGAUAAGUGGCACCUCACAGCAGAACUCCAGGGGAGCGCUUGAUUCCUCCACGGUGAGGGCAGCGCGGCCAGCUCAUGUUUGCGCGCUGCGGCACAUUAAAACAUUAAAUAGCCGAGUUUUUUUCAGCGUGAGAAAUACGAUGUGUGGCGGGAGUGCGUGACUUAAGACCGAAAUGCGUGAGUCUCACGCUCAAUGCGUGACACUUGAGAGCCCUGCAUUAUUUUACAUUUAUAUGGCUUUAAUAUUCUAAUGCAUAACAAAUUAUAUUUGCAAAAUAAAAAUUCAACGUGUAUUUCCAAUAGAUUUGUUGUUGUAUUGCAGCAACGUGGAUUUAUGAACAGUGUUGCAGUACAGCAUCCCAGUUCCCACCACCAGCGGCAGCACCCAGGUCGUUCUGCGCAGGUGAGCGAGAAAAGGAUGGUCUCGCGCGGUUUCGCUCCUUCUUAUAUAAAUGGUGUUCGCUAAUAGUCGUCGGACUGAAUUACGCGCGUACAAUCUAAGGUCGUUACUUUACACCUUUCCCCGUUCCUAUAGAUCGGCAAGAAGUCCAGCUUUCCGAGUGAGUUCCCGUUCUCAUUAGUAUUCUCUAAAGUAUUUAAUGGGCACAGAACACCUGAGACAUCGCUCCGACAGUCCAGCUUCAGGACGAGCUCACUUCAAGUGGCGGGGUGUUUAAAGGGUUGAACACGUUUAGUUUGGUUUUAGCUUGGACGAAGAUAUCGAGUUUCAUGUUUGUUAAGUUGAGUUAUUGGUCCAGUUCGCGUUUAGUGUCACGUCGCAGUGCUUGAAGCAGGUGAACACGGUUACUGUCAGCCGCAGCAGAAAAACACCUCUUCCGGUGUCUCUCCUCGUGUGGCGUGUUGGAUAGGAAGCGGCCGGCAGUCCGCAUUCACAAGGCCCAGUGAGCCACCAGGGCCAUAAUGAAUGUUAUUAAUUGCAACGGUGUUUACCUUGCAUGUCAAACUGGCUGCUGUGAAAAUGGGUAUAUACUCUAAUUCAGCGGUUCUCAAAUGGGGGUAGCCUAUGUGAGAUUUGUAAAAAUACAUCUAAAAUUCUCAUUUAUUCAAAAAUAGGUAUUUAAUACAUAUUCAAUAAAAUAUAAGUGUACGUUCUUAAAAUUAAUUGUACAUAUUAUAUAUUAAAUUAGAUACGGAUGGCACAGUGCUGUGUAUUACAUAUUUUGAUUAAACCAAAAAUGCUUUGCAUUAGUUAGUUGGCUGAAAACAAUAUUUCACGAGGGGUAAAAAGGUUGAGAACCACUGCUAAUUGGCACGCUCCAUCAAACUAACUGCUCAUUAAAGAACGGUUACAAUUUAAUUGUCUACACAUUUAGAUUACAAUUAAAUGUUAAAUAUAGAAGAUACCUGUAUAGCAACAACAACAAAAAACAUCCACAUGCUGUUAUGGUGCUAUGCAUGCUGUGUGUCUCCGCAUAUUAGAUCCUAAAUUACACAAUUAUAGCCAAUCAUGGAUUUGUCCUCCCAGGAGAUAUACUUUUUUUUACCAGUGUUGGUAUCCUACCAAAUAAAUGAUUGUGCAAUUAGCAUAACCUUGCAACUGACUUUCAACCAUAACCAUAUAUGUCCACAUUGUACUGUAUUUGUAAUUCUGUCAUUUGUAUCCCUCAAUAAAUCAGGCAGGAAUGGAUGCCGCACGCCUGUGCCUCCUGCUUCCCACUCUGCCCGGUGAGCAGCGAGCCACAGCCUGUGACAUCUUCCAGCUCAUAAAUCCAGAACAGCAGCCAUGAAGAAGGCAGACCGGCGAGCCCGUUUCAACAUCUGCAUCUAUUAGAGAAGAACCGAAGGUGUAAGAAUUAAGAGUGAUUUCCUCUUCAUCAACAAUCGGGUGCAAAGACUGAGACUUUGUUUUUCCAUCUAAAAGAUAUCCGGAUUUAAAAAAGCUCCUCUCUUGUGGUUAUUAAACCUGCACACGAGGAGAAUCUUGUUAAAACACAUUCCUCGCGCAGUUGACAGUGUGUAUAAAUAAACAAACAAAAUAUUUGUGCUCGGAGCCUCCAUCACUCUCCUUCACACCGCUCUGUGCAUAUUGUUACUCAAAAGACACGUCUGUAAGAAUCUUUGUAGGUCGUAUAUGUUGACAUAUAAAUAGUAACGUGUGUAAUCAUGCUGUAUGUAAUGCUUGUCCCGCACAUUACAAGAGGGAGAUGAUCAUCAAAUCAAUAAAGUUACAUUAUAUUAAUAAUUAUAUCAACCAAACUAACAUUUUAAUAAUUGAAUGACAGGUUCUGGAUGUGGCACAGUGUUUCAUUAAAACAUAGGUUUGGGGUAAAAUUAUCAGCCAACACAGAUGUUCCUUUGAACACUUGACCUACAUUUACAAGUAUGUUCUCGUUUACUCAACGGAUUCAUUCACAAUCCAUUUGCAGGUUUUUAGCUGCAGAAACGUCAGGAAGCGACACAAAUACCACUCGAAGCCGUUUGCCCGCGUGCCGCUCUGAGCGUAUACGAGCUGUAACUGCAUCAUUUCGAUGGGCAUCCAAUCCGAGGAUGGUGCUGAUGAGAUGCAGCUUGAGACACGUAGACCUCACGGUUCUUCAGAGACCAUUCAGUCAUCUAUCAAAUCUGAAAACCUAUUAUUCUAACUUUCCAGAUUUUUCCAAAUAGUAGAUGGACCCUUCAACAGCGUGGGAGUCAGGGAGCAGCCGGCUGCCCUUCUUCUGGUUUGUAUUACACAAUGCAUGGACAAAGUAGAGAUGUUAGAUCUGCUAAAUGAAACUAAUAAUGCAUCCCUUGGAGAAAAAUCCAAAGUAAAUGAAAUAUGUAAAUAACUGAAAUGAAUUGUGGGUAUUAAUUUCUUUGACCAUCUUUGCUUUACCGUUAAACAUACAUAGCUACGGGCAAAUUAAGACUUUAAUGAGAAACAUGCUCAGAGGUGCACAACUGUAAAACAUAUAUAUAGUAUGUUGCAUAACUUUUUAGAUGAAUCGGCAGUUGAAGGAGAAAUACAAUUUCAUCACUUUUAAUAAAUGCUUCCUACUUUGGCUACUUUAUUCACGAAAUGAUAAUGUAUUAUGUUGAUAAUAAAGAAUUACAUGA
This is a long non-coding RNA of Pseudoliparis swirei, 3529 nucleotides long. RefSeq lists it as uncharacterized. NCBI's taxonomy places the organism in Eukaryota, Metazoa, Chordata, Actinopteri, Perciformes, Liparidae. The transcript has 3 exons. The record is from RefSeq and is a predicted model, not a curated record.